GGGGAUGUAGCUAAGUGGUAUAGUACAUGUUUUGCAUGUAUGAGGGCCUGGGCUCAAUUCCCAGUAUUUCCA
This 72-nucleotide transfer RNA is filed under the name Alligator mississippiensis (American alligator). It matches the Rfam family "tRNA". Rfam says of the family: Transfer RNA (tRNA) molecules are approximately 80 nucleotides in length. Their secondary structure includes four short double-helical elements and three loops (D, anti-codon, and T loops). The record is from Rfam by way of RNAcentral. Lineage: Eukaryota; Metazoa; Chordata; Crocodylia; Alligatoridae.